Molecule: ribosomal RNA, 529 nt
Filed under: Lodderomyces orthopsilosis
Lineage: Eukaryota; Fungi; Ascomycota; Pichiomycetes; Serinales; Debaryomycetaceae
Description: Candida orthopsilosis partial large subunit ribosomal RNA
Rfam family: Eukaryotic large subunit ribosomal RNA
Source: RNAcentral
AAUUUGAAAUCUGGCACUUUCAGUGUCCGAGUUGUAAUUUGAAGAAGGUAUCUUUGGGUCUGGCUUUUGUCUAUGUUUCUUGGAACAGAACGUCACAGAGGGUGAGAAUCCCGUGCGAUGAGAUGACCCAGACCUAUGUAAAGUUCCUUCGAAGAGUCGAGUUGUUUGGGAAUGCAGCUCUAAGUGGGUGGUAAAUUCCAUCUAAAGCUAAAUAUUGGCGAGAGACCGAUAGCGAACAAGUACAGUGAUGGAAAGAUGAAAAGAACUUUGAAAAGAGAGUGAAAAAGUACGUGAAAUUGUUGAAAGGGAAGGGCUUGAGAUCAGACUUGGUAUUUUGUAUGUUACUCUCUCGGGGGUGGCCUCUACAGUUUACCGGGCCAGCAUCAGUUUGGGCGGUAGGACAAUUGCAAAGAAAUGUGGCACUGCCUCGGUAGUGUGUUAUAGUCUUUGUCGAUACUGCCAGCCUAGACUGAGGACUGCGGCUUCGGCCUAGGAUGUUGGCAUAAUGAUCUUAAGUCGCCCGUCUUGA